AGGUCCGCGGCGUGCCUCCAACCCGGCGCCUGCAGCCCCGGGGCAACAAGCUUCAGACAAAAGUGAAGCAAAUUAAAGUCCAUCCCGCCAUCCUUCCAAAGAGCAAAGAAAGUCCAUGGAAAUUCAUCAACAUCCAGGAUGCUCAGGAGCUUCCAGGUUCAACAGAUGCGUGAGAUCCAUAGCAGAAACAUUGCUGUCCUCUUCAGAUUCAAGUACGGGUGAAAGUCAAGCUCUGGGAUACUGGAGCAGGGCUAUAUAAUUCUCUUUCCCUUGUAAUUUCAUUAAAAAAGAUUAAGGAAACCCUUGAAAAGUUGUAGAUACCUAAAAUUUUGGCCGUGCAUUGAUCAUCCACAAAAAGUGAAAGAUCACAAGUGAUCAAGCCACAUGUGUGAAAAAUCUCAAAUACACUUUGGGAGGCCGAGGCGGGCCGAUCAUAAGGUCAGGAGAUCGACACCAUCCUGGCUAACAGGGUGAAACCCCGUCUCUACUAAAAAUACAAAAAAUUAGCUGGGCAUGGUGGUGGGCACCUGUAGUCCCAGCUACUGGGAAGACUGAGGCAGAAGAAUGGCGUGAACCCGGGAGGCGAAGCUUGCAGUGAGCCGAGAUCGCACCACUGCACUCUAGCCUGGGCAACAGAGCGAGACUCCAUCUCAAAAAAAAAAAAAAAAAAAAAAAGAAAGAAAACUCUCAAAUAACUCUUGAUUCAAAUAGUCAACAUAACUCCUGGAGGAAAAAAAAAAGCAUUUCUACAUUGAGAGAGACAUUGCUAUAGUCCCC
Molecule: long non-coding RNA, 777 nt
Filed under: Homo sapiens (human)
Lineage: Eukaryota; Metazoa; Chordata; Mammalia; Primates; Hominidae
Description: non-protein coding lnc-NUTM1-7:1
Source: RNAcentral